AGGCUCUUUCGUGAACUUAUUCCACCCUUUUUGAUAGAUUUGUUGCAUAAUUUCUCCGUUAACAUGGUCAAGUGCCAACCCCCGUUCUGGUGUUAGGGCUUUUAUCGCAAGGUAGUCGUAAUAGUCGGAAGCGGCGGCACUUAUGAACUUGCGUAUGUUAAAGGUCCUUGUUGGUGGUGUGGACCCUGAACUCUCUCCACGUUGCCACUUUGAUGUCAGUUUAGGUGCCAUUGGAUUGGAAUUGGUGUGAGCCUCCACAAAAUUUCCCCCAAACUUCACUCAAGCAAACCGUUGAACACUUGGUGUGCAAGACGUUCAAUCCCCCAAACUUAGUGAUUUGGCUUCAAUUUUGGUGAUAGAAAUUGAGAAAUUGUAAGACACACCACUCACUCUUAGUAUAUCUCCAAGCUGGUUGAUUAUCCUCUUCCUUAAUGCUGUAGAAUUUUGCUCAAAAACCCUAACCUUGAACUUUCGAAUUGGUGUGAAUUGGGAUUGUUAAAGUGUGGCGUAAAGGGAUGAUUUUAUAUAGAGGAUGUGAGGUAGAGAGGUAUGAGUGAUUGAAGUAGUGGGUAAGUGGUGGGAUGGAAUGGGGAUACGGAGAUUAAAUCGCUAAAUCGUGUGUUGAUAGUGUCUAGGAGUAGUGGGGUAGUAAGAAGUUGAAGUUGAAGUGGAAGAGUGGUGAUAACUAUUGCUCUUUAACUGCCAAAACCCCUCUUUAGUUUUGUACCCCCGCCCCGGCGGGGGGUAGUAUGCCUUAGAGGCCCGCCCUGGCUGGGAUACUGUCUGUAAUUGAACUCAGUACCCCCGACCCAGCGGGGGGAAUUAACCUUAAAGAGCCCACCCCGACUGGCAUACUGUCUGUAAUUGAUAUCACUACCUCCACCCCGGUGGGGGAUUCCUUCACAAAAAUGCCCGCCCCGGCGGGCAUGCCUUCUACAAGUCCACUUGAUUUUUCCCAUUUUUAACAUUCAAGCCCAAUCCAUAAGGUUGCUAAGUACCUGACACAUCAUUAAACAUAAAUAUGAGUCAAUAUUGAGUAACUUAAGCAUAUAAAGUUAGAUUAUCUAGAAAAUAUAACUUAACUAAUUAAUAAAAUGAAUUGAAAUGAAUUUAGUCUAAAUUAAUUAGUAUUCUAAACUACAAUCUAACUCGCAUGAAUAAAAUUACUGAAAACAAAAGUAAAAUUGGGUUGCGUCCCAACUAGCACUUGAUUUCUUUCAGCUUGACUACUCCCUGUUUAUGGUACGUCGGCAAGUGUGAUUGUGAUGACAUCCGUGUUAGAUUCACCACCCCAAUAAUGCUUCAGCCUUUGACCGUUGACCUUGAACGUCUCCAAUGGAUUCCUACUAUAUAGCUCAACGGUGCCAUGUGGAAACACCCUUUGUAUAGUAAAUGGACCCGACCACCUUGAUUUUAGCUUUCCUUGGAACAACCGCAAUAUUGAGUUAAACAAUAGUACUGAUUUCCCCAAUUCAAAACGUUCUCUGCAUGAUUUUUUAGUCGUGCCAUUUCUUGACCUUUUCUUUAUAUAACUUAGAGUUCUCAUAAGCUUGAAGUCAGAAUUUAUCGAGUUCAUUUAACUGAAGUAGCCUCUUUUCACCUCUCACUGCUUGAUCAAAGAUGAGUUUCUGAAUUGGCCAAUAGGACUUAUGUUGUAACUCCAUUGGUAGGUGACAUGCUUUCCCGUAGACCAAUUGAUAAGGGGACAUCCCAAUUGACAUCUUGUAAGCAGUCCUGUAUGCCCAUAAUGCAUCGUCCAAUUUGAGAGACCAAUCUUUUAUGUUCGGGUUUACUACCUUCUAUAAGAUUCUCUUCACCUCCCUGUUUGAAACAUAUGCGUGCCCACUUGUUUGGGGGUGAUAUGUCGUCGCCACCUUAAGAUUGACCCCAUAUUUUGCCAAAAGAGCUGUAAACGAUCUGAUGCAGAAAUGACUACCCUCAUCACUUAUAAUAGCUCUUGGCGUGUCAAAUCUUGUAAAAAUAUUCUUUUGCAAGAAUUUAAGAACCACUUUGGCAUCGUUUGUGGGAAGUGUUACUGCUUCAACCCAUUUUGAUACGCAGUCAACUGCAAGCAACUUGUAUUGGGUAUUGAAGGAGGAAGGAAAUGUCCCCAUAAAAUACAUGCCCUAUACAUCAAAAAUUUCAACUUCUAAUAUAGUUUGUAGUGGCAUUUCAUUCCGCUUUGAUAUGUUACCCACCCUUUGACACCUGUCUCAGCUUUUAACGAGCUGGUGGGCAUCCUUAAACAUUGUAAGCCAGUAGAACCCUGCUUGAAGCACUUUAGCCGCUGUUCUCUUACUUCCAUAAUGACCCCCGUAUACAGAUGAAUGGCACUCAUGCAAUAUAUUGUUAACAUCACUUUAUAGCUCACAUCGACGAAUCACUCUAUAUGCACAUUGUUUGAAUAGAUACGGCUUAUCCCACAUGUACCACUUGACAUCAUAUAGAAACUUCUUCUUUUGUUGCCGUGUAGGAUCAGUUGGAAGGACGUUGCUCUCCAAAUAGUUGGUAAAAUCUGUAAACCAUGGAAAUUCUGCAUUGACCCCAAAAAGCUGCUCAUCCGUAAAUGACUCGUUGAUUAAACAUUUAUCGGCCCCGUCUUUGUCCGGAUUUUCUAACUAUGAGAGAUGGUCUGCAACUUGAUUCUCUGUCCCCUUUCUAUCUUUUAUUUCCAAAUCAAAUUCCUGUAGGAGAAGUAUCCACCUGAUAAGUCAUAGCUUGGCAUCUUUCUUCGAAAUUAAAUACCGAAUGACCGAGUAACCCAUAUAAACCACUACCUUUGUCCCAAUCAAAUAUGCCCAGAAUUUUUCAAAGGCAUAUACUACUGCAAGUAACUCCUUUUCUGUAGUUGUGUAAUUCAUUUGGGUCUCUGUAACUGUUUAACUUGCAUAGUAUAUGGCGUGGAAUGUCUUCUCUCAGCGUUGACCUAACACAACCCCUACCGUAUAGUCUCUUGCAUCGCACAUUAAUUAAAAAGGCAUAUUCCAGUCUGGUACAAUGAUAACUGGAGCUGUAGUCAAUUUAUUCUUCAAUAGCUCAAAUGCUAACUUACACUCCUCAUCAAAUUUGAAAACUGAAUCUUUCUCUAAGAGACUGCACAAUGGUUUUGCAAUCUUAGAGAAAUCUUUUAUAAAUCUCCUAUAGAACCCAGCAUGUCCAAGAAAGCUACGGAUUCCCUUUACUGAAGUUAGCGGUGGAAGAUUUUCAAUCAUUUCCAGCUUUGCUCUAUCAACCUCUAACCCUUUUGCAGAGACCUUGUGCCCCAAGAUUAUUCCUUCUUCGACCAUAAAGUGGCACUUUUUAUCUCCACGCAUCGCUUUAGAACCAUCACCAAGUUCUCCAAAUAGAUAUCAAAAUUAGCUCCAUACACAGAGAAGUCGUCCAUGAAGACUUCCACAUUCUUUUCCACUAUGUCUGAGAAAAUGGCCCUCAUACACCAUUGGAAAGUUGCAGGUGAAUUACGUAGGCCAAAAGACAUUCUCCUAAAUGCAAAAGUGUCGUUUGGGCACGUGAAAAUGUUCUUAUCUUGAUCUUCAGGAGCAAUUACUAUUUGAUUAUAUCCUGAAUAUCCAUCCAAUAAGCAAUAAAAUUUGUGUCCCACUAAUCUAUCCAACAUCGGAUCAAUAAAAGGCAAGGGAAAGUGGUCUUUGCAGGUUACCUUAUUCAACUUCUUGUAGUCCAUGUAAACCCUCCAACCAGUUACGGUCCUCAUUGGAAUUAAUUUAUUGUCCUCAUUCUGCACUACGAUCAUUCCUCCUUUUUUCGGCACACAUUGAACCGGACUGACCCACUUACUAUUUGAAAUUGGGUAGAUGAUUCCCGCAUCCAACCACUUCAGAAUUUUUUUCUUCACUACUUCUUUCUUGAUUGGAUUGAGCCAUCUCUGUUGCUCCACUAUUGGCUUUACAUCAUCUUCCAUAAGAAUUUUGUGCAUCCAAAAGGAUGGACUGAUUCCCUUGAAAUCUAUAAUUGUCCAUCCUAUAGCCAAUUUGUGUUCUCUAAGCACUCUCAGCAACUUAUUUUCCUACAAUUCGUUAAGCGCAGCAAAAAUAAUAACAGGUAAAGUAUUAGAAUUGCCUUAAUAUGCAUACCUGAGGUGUUUAGGGAGUGGUUUAAGCUCAAGUGUACGUGACUCCUCCAAAGAGGGUUUCAUCCUUGCCAUGGCUCUUUCCUCUGUGUGUAAUGGUUCAAAGGGUGCUUUGAAUCUGCUCACUCGUGGCAAAGAAUCCAGCAUCUGCAAAUAAUCCACAAACUCUGGAUCAUCAAAAUCUUCAUCUCCCAAUAAUAUAGUUUCUAAUGGGUUAUUAAUCAAACUUUUAGCCAUGUCUUCAUUAACUAUCCGAUCAAUGACAUCCACCCGACAACACUCUUCUUCAUCCGUAGGAAACUUCAUGGCCUUAAACACAUUGAACUUGACUUCCUGAUCUUGAACUCUCAUAGUUAGUUCACCUUUUUGCACGUCGAUGAGAGUCCUACCCAUAGCCAAAAAUGGUCUCCCUAGGAUGAUUGGGAUAUUCUUAUCUUCCUCAAAAUCUAGAAUUAUGAAGUCCACUGGAAAUAUAAACUUAUCCACUUUUACCAGAAUAUUUUCCACAAUUCCUCUUGAGUACGUGAUUGACCUAUCCGCCAACUGUAGAGAUAUAUUAGUCAGUUUCGGAGCUGGUAAACUCAGUUCGGUAUAUACUGAUAACGGCAUGAGAUUCAUACUUGUCCCCAAGUCACAUAAACACUUUUGAAAUGCCAUGUUCCCAAUCGUGCACAGAAUAGUGAAACACCCCGGAUCUUUCAACUUUAGCGGUAACUUCCUUUGUAGUACUGCACUGCACUCCUCCGUUAAUGUUACAAAUUCAAAAUCUUCCAACUUAUUUUUUUGUGACAGAAUUCCCUUCAUAAACUCAGCAUAACUGGGCAUCUGCUCUAAGGCUUCAACAAACAGAAUAUUUAUUUGAAGUUUCUUAAAAACUUCCAAAAAUUUGGUGAAUUGCUUAUCCAAUUUCUGUUUCUGAAUUCUUUGCUGAAAUGAUGGAGGAGGAUACACAACCGGUUCGUUAACUGUCUUGCUAUUUUCCACCUACUUUUCUUCCCCUUGUUUGUCCUCAACUACUUUGUUUUCACCUUCUUUAUCAUCAUCUUUUACAGCCAAAUUUUCUGUUUUCUGAUUCUCAAGAUGUUUUCCACUCCUUAACAUAAUUGCUUGACAUUACUUAUGAUUCCCCAUUUAGAUUUUUCUCUGUAUCACUGGGUAAAGUUCCUUGAGGCCUAUUAUUUAAUGCAAAAGCCAGCUGUCUCAUCUGAUUCUCUAGGUUCUUGAUGGCUACAGCUUGUGAUUUCAUAACUGCCUCGUUGCUCGUUAUAUACUUCGACAAUAACUCCUCUAAAUCUAUCUUUCUCUCUUGAUGUUGAGUUGUUUGUUGAUGUUGAUUUUGAAAUCCUGGGGGAAAAAAUGGUCAUGGAACUUGCUGAUGCUGAUUAUUACUCCACAAAAAAUUAGGAUGAUUCCUAUUCCCCGGAUUAUAUGCAUUCUGGUACAUGUUCUGUGGAAUACUGUUGUAGCUACCCACAAAUUGCACUAACGCUGAGUUGAUUUCACAUUGAUCCAUAGGAUGUUCACCUGUGCACAAUUCAAAAAUAAAUGCAACUUGUUAAGUCUAUACCCCCGACAAAGAAUCCACCUUCUUAGAUAGUGCUUAAAUCUACGCUGCUAAUGUUGUCACUCAAUCUACCUCUAACACCCCAGCCACCUUAGGUUGUGUCAAUCUUUCCAUGGGCCACUGAUAAUUGUUAGCCGCCAUUGUUUCUAUCAAUUCAUAUGAUUCCUCAUAACUCUUUGCCAUAAAUGCUCCACCCAAAGCCGCAUCUAUACUGGUCCUGAGAUUCCCAUUCAACCCGUUGUAGAAUGUGUUCAUUUGUAGCCAUUUGGGCAAUUCAUGAUGCGGGCACUUUCUGAGAAAUUCCUUGUAUCUCUCCCAUGCCUCACACAAUGAUUCCCCAUGCUGCUGUUCAAACAUGGUAAUCUCGUUUCUCAUCUUUACAGUCUUCGCUGGUGGGAAGAAUUUUGUUAGAAAUUUUUGAGCGAGGUCUUCCCAUAUAGUUAUUGAUCCCGGCGGUAGAGAGUGUAACCAACUCUUCGCCUUGUCCCGUAGAGUGGAUGGGAACAAGCGAAGCCUAACUGAAAGUGUCACAAAUCUCUAAAAAGCUGACCAAAUGUUCGUUCGAAUCGUCAUUUGCUAGUCCCCUAAACUGUACCGAGUUUUGGAUAAUCUGAAUAGUUCCAGGCUUAAUCUCAAAUGUAUUCGUAGCUAUAGUAGGCCUGGUGAUACUUGACUGCAACUCAGUCACCUUAGGUGUAGCAAAAUCUCUCAACGCUUUCUAGUCUUCGACAACCAUUGCUUCUUCUUUUUCAAAAUUCUCGAAGUCUUCCCUUGUCUCCUUACUUAGCCUUUGAAACCGUCUCUCAAUGUCGUCCUCAAAAGGAAGCAAGUCUGGAUUUUUGGACUGAGUUUGCAUAAAGCAACUUCAAGAACCUAAAAUAAGAACGAACAAAGUAAAAAAAAUUAAGUAAAACUGAACUAAUUAAACUGAUAUUUCAAAAUUAUUAAAAUCUAUACUAUUAUCCCCGGCAAUGGCGCCAAAAACUUGUUGGGUAAAAUCUAAUUAUGCACAACACGGAAGUAUACGUGGUCAACAAGUAAUAUAACAGUAAGUAAAGUAUAGUUUCCACGUAGAUUAGCAAGAAAUUAACCCUUACAAUUAUCAGCUUCCUAUUAAUCCAAAUUUUAUUAAACUAUCCAAUUUAAGAAUUAUAAUUAUAAAAACUAAAUAUAUUUAAAAUACUAAAAUCACAAAACAAUCACAAAUCUUAAAAAUUGAAAUUUCAAACAUGUAUUGGAGAAUUAGGCUUACAACUUCACCCUAAGCUUCACUCUGAUUAUUUCCCUUUAUUCUAGUUUAAUUCACUACCCAAGUUUAUUAAUGAAGAACACGUAAGUAGAACUAGCCAUCUCUCAAUUUACUAAUACCAUAUUAACUUAAAUCCAUAAAUUAGAUAGAAUUAAGUUAAAUACCUCAAUUAACUAACUCACUAUAUCUCUAUGUGAAUUACAAUCAAAGAAGGUUUAAGUUCAAGUUCUCUAUUCGAUUACAUGUGAUACUAGGCAUAUCUCUACCCUAACAUUCAUCAAGUUCCAUUCAUUCACAGAAUUCAAGAACACAUGAUAUAUUAACUAAGUCUAAACUCGUAUUUCCUCUCUCGAAUCCAUACAAGUCCACAAAGAAUUGGUGAUCAAUCAAUUCAUAAAUUCAAGCAUAAAGUAAUAUAGAUAAACUGAGGAAUAGCUUAUUAAACUGAAAAUCAAAGUUACGUAAUCAUUGUUCCACCCAAAGAUCCAUUAUAAGCCUAAAAAGUAAUUUAGUUCAUCAUCAAUGAAUUAAAAAUAGAAUUAAUUAAAGUAAACAUCGCCCCAAUUACAAAUAUUAAACUAAAGAAGAAGAAGAAAUCCAAAAGCAGCCUUCUCUCUAGUGUCAAUCUGCAAUUAUUGUGAAAUCUGCUUCAAAAUAUUCCUCCAAUGCUCUCGUUCCAAACUCUAGCUUCCAGGUUGUUAAUUGCUUGUAAGGUAUAUCAAUCUUGUUGUUUAUUGUUAAUUUUUAUACCAAGAAAUGUAUUCCGCCUCUAAUUCCAUGCACAAUUGAGUUCCAAGUCGUCCCACUCACUAAUCCUCACAUUGUUGUAGCAUUUGAAACCAAGCAGGAGACUUCUCUUCCCCGUACCCCCGCCCCGGCGGUGGUGUUGCCUUGUAAUGAGCCUGCCCCGGUGGGCAUUAAACUGUCCCUUGAGUUGCAUAACCCUUCCCCAAUGGGGGUUUUGUAUAGUAAAUAGCCAGCCCCGGUUGGCAUACCUUUUGCUAGUUGUCCACUUUUAGCUCCAAACUUGCCAAAUUUCACCAUAAUUCCACCCUUUUUGUUCAAUUACCACGCCACAAUACCUAAACACAAAACAACACUAAACAAGUAAAAACGAAACAUAAAAACAAAGAUUUAACACAAUUUAAGCUUGAAUUAGUGCCCAAUUCGUAGGUAUAAAACCCAUUCAUCAGUACCAUAUGGGCUACUAGUAGAGACACGAUGUGCACUGAGUCCUAGAAUAGUUAUAAGAAGAAGAUAAGAAUGUAAAUCAUCAAAUAUGAUGAUCGCAUGAGUAAGACAUCUCCGUAUGUCAUGAAGCCGUAAAACGGUAAAGGAAGUUGGUAGCGUAAACUUAGAUUGCAAGAACGCGAACCCUAAGAAGUAAAGAAAAGUUUAAACCAAUGCAUAAAGUCAAGUAUAUGACUAAUUAGUGUAUGUGCUAUUUCCUUAUAUGUUUUAUAGGGUUUGAAAUGAGCAGUUCAGCGUAAACUAUAAUCUAUAGCUGUGCGUAAGGUAAGUUUCCUAACUUAAUUCAUAUUUUAAAUGAAUGCUAGUUUCUUAAGCAUCUCAGAUGUUGAACAUGAGAAGUUUUAUCUAUGUGCGAAUGUGUGAUAUUUGUACAAGGUGGUAGAAUGUGUGAGGCCUUGUGCCACAACUUUAACACUUUGGUGUUUCAAUGAGAUGAACUGUUCUGUGAUUGAACUGUUCAAAAUUAGAAUGUUCUGUUUAUACAUGAACGAUUAUUUUUAGGUCUGUGCUAAUGAUUCUAGUCGGACAUGAUUUGUAUGGAAAACAAAUAGAAGAAUGAAAGUAUUUCAAAGUGAAUGUGACUAAUGUUUUAAAAUGAUAGAAAACAUAUUUAUUCCUAUUAUUCAAGCUUCUUAAUAAACUUUGUUCGGAUAUUGAAGUCUUAAAAGAAUGUUUAAUUUCUUGAUGUUGUUUAUUCAACUACUAUGACUUGCUGAGCAAUUGAAUGCUCACACUUGCUUUAAAUAAAAAUAUUUUCAGCGAACGAUGUUAGAAAGAACUUAAGGAUCCCGUAAAGAUCAAGUUGACCGGUAUCCAGAAGAAGUGUCAUUCAGUAUAUGAAUGUGCGUGAAGAUCAAGCCAAGACUUGUAAAGUAUAAUAGUUUAACUAAACUAUAGACUAAUUUAAUGAAAUGUUAUGUAUCCUUGGUGGCGUAUAAAAGUCACUCUUGUAAGAUGUAAAGAAUAAUGUAAUUAUCAUUAUUUAUAAUGAACGAGGUUAUAAGGUAUUAGAACCUGAGAUUUGAGAAUGUAUGUUGUUAUAUUUAGCUAUAUAAUGAUGUAUGUUUCGCAAGAGACGGGACCGUGACGUAUGGAAUCCGGGUGAGAAGAUAGACCAAAUUUUGGGGCGUUACACUUUAUCAUAUCCAUUCCAUUACAUUGCAUGAAUAUGAUAAAGAGGGGCAUAUCAGAUCUUUUCAAAAUUGUUUUUCAAACAAAUCUCACCUAACAUGAGAACACCAAAAGACAAGAACAGAAAGGGAUAAAUAAAAAUCCCGAGUCGACAGGAACUCCACAAUAUGAGUUUACCAUGGCCCUUUUUAAUGUAACGCCCCCAUAUCUAUACUCCCACGGUAUUCGAUAUGGUGCUUACUACUAGUAAAUGUAUAUAAUGCAUUAUAAUCUAUACGCUCAUGGUAUCUGAUUAUAUGCUUAUAUCUAAUUGAGUGACUAUACAAUUAUAACCAGAUGCAAUUCCCAUAGUUCCAAGAUUCAUAGUAUCCCAUAACAGAUAACAAUUCCUAGGAGAACUAUUGUUGUGUUUGGAUACCCUCACUUGGAUGUAUGAACUGUAUUUGCGAAUAGUAACUAUCUAUCCAAAAUUCAGAGUACUAGUGUUAACAUGAACGUUCCAUAUUACCAAUACCCUCACUCAGAUGUAUAGUCUAAAUCAUGCGAAUUACACUAUCAUAUCGAUAGUACCUAUCUAUCUGAAAUCUAGAGUAUCAACAACAACAUGAACUAUCCAUAUUGUCAAUACCCUCACUCAGAUAAAUAGUUCCCCAGGAUCUCAAACUAGAUUGAAAAUUCUAAUUACAUCUAUAUAUGUAAAGAAAACACGAUUACAAAAAUAAAAGAUGUUAUAUAUAUAUAUAUCAUAUAUUAAGGUUCGAUUACAUAAUUCUUCCUAAGAAUUUCUAAUUACAAAAGUAUUGCAUUCAACUAGACAAUAAUAUAAACUAAUCUAAGUAGGGACGCUUCCUUUUACUAACUCCAGAUGUCCCAAGGUUACCAUCUAAUACUGCAAAGGGAAUAAUUUGCAAGGGUGAGGUAUGACAUGCUCAUCAGGUUUUAUAUUUAUAAUAAUAUAUGAUUUGAAGAAGUAUAACAGUUCAAAACUCAACUGAUUGUUGUUACCAUAUUUUGAAUUUUUAUUUCAACCAUUUGUGGAAUUUUUAUUUCUGUUAGUCACAAAGACUUAGAAAUUUUGUUUAGAUGUGAGAUAGGGGAUCAGCCUAUUCAACAUCCUAAGAGUAUGCAUCUCAUCCUACUUGUGCUCACAUGCACUAAAUGUCAAUAUUUAACUAACCCAAUAUCUAUUGUAAUAUCCCAAGUGUUUAUGAAUUGAGUAUGUGAUAAUGAUCCUUAGAGGAAGGUAAUGAAUGUGUUAAAGAACAUGUAAUACUAAAAUAUAAUUGAGUUUAAGUAAAGGUUAUGAAAUAAAACAUACAAGAAUUUAUUGUGAAGAAUUGUUGGAGUGGUAAUAAAUAAAACAUAUAUUAAGGUAAUGUGUUGAAGAUAUGCAACGAUAAAUUUUAAAAAGAGAUUUGGUGAUAACCGAGUAAGGGAGGUUUCGUUGAUUCCGAGGACAAAAUCCUUAUUAAGGGGGGAAGGAUGUGACAACCCGAAUUUUUAGAAAUUAUUAAAUAAGAAUUUAAAAAAUAAAAUUCUUAUUAUUAGAUGUAGGAUUUUUAAAUAUGUGAUUUAAUGUGAAAAACAAUUAAAUAUAUAUGAGGUUUAAUAUUUAAUUAAACUAUUAAAGAAAUUAAAUUAAAUUGUUAUGGAAAGGAAUUAACUAAAUAAAUAUUGGUUAAUUUAAAUAAAGUUGGGAAUUAUAUUAUGAAGUAAUAUAAUUUAAUUUUCAUGCCUUAAUUGGCGGAUGAAAUUAUUAUGAAUUAAAUUUCAUAAAUAAUGUGAGUAAUUCACUUAAUUAAAAUAGUGAAUUAGUGUACGCAUAUUUGUUUUAAUAAAUGAGUAAGUGAUAUAUUACACAUGAGUGUAAUAUAUUAAUGUAAUACGAUUGUGGAUCUCGUAAAUAGUUAAAAUAUUUAUCGAAUAAAAUAAAUAUUUUAGUUAGAAUAUUUAUGGAAUUUAAAAUGAAUAUUUGAUGGAAAUUAUUUUGGGAUAAUUUAUGUAAGUGUGAUACUAUUGAUUAAAUUAAAUAAUUGAAGAAUUGGUGCGUAUUUUAUUACUUGAGGAUAAUGAUAAUAUUUUAAUUUAAUUAAAUAAUUAAAUUAGAAGAUUAAUGAUUUAUUAAAUAAAAUUAUACUUGUUUAAUUAGAGAUUAUAAUUUUGUUAGUAAUAUUUAAUUAGAUUUAUUAAUAAAAUAAGUUUAAUUAAAUUUAAGUGUGACAAAUAUAACAUAUGAUAAAAAAAAAAGUUAUUAAAAUAAUUGAAAGAAACAAGGUCUUGUGACCUUUGGAGUUUGGUAACCGAUGAAGGAAUUGAGUUUUUACGUCAAAAACAAAACUGAUCAGUUAGCUUGUUCUUCAGUAAAAUGAAAUUUGGGAGAGAGGGAGUGAGAGAAAUCUAUGAGAAUUGGAGAAGAGCUUUGGAAGAACAAGAAGAAAAGAACCUUAUUCAUCAUCUAAUUGGGUUAAGAAGGAAUCAAAAGGUAUUAAUCCAACCUUAAAACUCUCUACUCUUAUUUGCCUCAAAUAUUAGGUUUCUAUAAAAUUAGUUUGGGUUGAUGAAGGAUAAGGAUAUAUUUGUUUAUAGGUGUGUAUAAUUUGUGAUAUGUCAUCUAUUAACGAUUUCAGAGUUUUCAAAUUCAUGUAAAUAUAUUUUUAGAAUAAGGAAUUUUGUUCAUGGAUUAGUAUAUGUAUUUUGGUCUAUUUAAGCCUUUAAUUGAUGGUUAGAUCAUGUAUAUAAUCUGAAAUUGGUGCUAGAUAUUGUUAGUAGAUUGAAUUAAGAAAAAAAAUGAAGGUUAAACAGAUUAAUUUGAUUAAGAAAUGAAUUCGUAGUGAAUGAAUUCGCUACACGUGUUAAAACAUGAAAAUAGAAUAUGAACAUGAGUUUUGGGUUAAGAUUUAGGUUGCUUAUUGUUUCUUUAAAUUGUUAUAAUUCUAUUAUGUUGUAGUUCUAUGAAUUACAGAUCAAAAGAAUCGAAAACGGAUUAAUUUGGAUGUGUAUAACUCAAGUUAUGAAGAUUAGAAGGAGAAAAAGUUCAAAAAUAGCGAAAACAAUAAACUAUAGAAUCUGGCUCUGCUAACGGGCACAGCUGCGCUGUGUCCAAGGCUUAAUUGGUCACAAUUGUAAGACCCCAACUUAUUAUAAAUAAAAUAAAAUUUCCUCUAUUUAUUAUUUUGAAAUAAUAAGGGUUAAUUUGAUUAAUGUGGUUAGUUAUGGGUAAAAUGCGCAAAUAUCUUAAAUAAGCAAGUGGUUAUAAAAUAUUCAUUGUUGUCGGGGAAUUUCGUUUGGUCGUGGAAUAUUCUUACUGUCGGAGAAUAUUCGUAUGACGGCGCAGCCUUGUGUGGGCCCCACAACAGAAAGCGAUUGGAUAACGAAAAUGACAAGUAUAAGUUGUUUAUAAAUAACGGCGUAGUUGUUACUGUUAAUACUGUUGGAAUACCCGGUGGUUAAAACACAGUAAUACGUGUUAUUGCACAGUAGCACACGGUAUUGCACAAAUUAUUGAUUCUUACGUAAGAAGGCACUACUCAAUAAUUGUUACAGUAAUUAUUGUUCAAUAUUUUAUUUUAUUAAUUCAAUAAUUGCUACGAUAAUAUUUUAUAUUAUUGUUGUUUCAAUAAUUGUCACUACACAGUAUUUUCCAUUAUCAGAUCAAUAAUUCAUAUUAUUUGAAUAAUAUUAUUAGAUAGCAUUAUUGGCAAUGUCUAGAAAGUUCUGUCUAAGGAGAGGUUUGGUCACCUAAUUGCGCGCCAGUAAGGAGAAAUCCUUAUUGGAAAGCCCCCUCUUUCUUGGGAACGGUCUGGUUGUCAGUAUUGUGAUUCUGUAAUAUUAUUUGUGAAUAAUUAAUUAUUGAUUUAUAUGAUAAGAAAAAUAUUCAUUUUAUGUGGAUAUAGAUGGAGAAAAUGUUUAAUGUGAUAAUUGUUGAAAAUUGAUAUUUUAUCUUUCUGAUAAAAUAAUUCAUUUAAAUAUAUUAUUAUAUUAUAAUAAUAUAAUUAUGGUGAUAUUUUUACAAUGAAUGUUGGAUAUAUGAAUAAAUGAGGAGGAAGAGUAUUUUUGUUACUAAAAAUAUUUAAAAACAUGUUUUUCAUGUUUGUGGACCCCAUUUCUUGACUAAAAUUUGAUUAUAGCCUGUAAAAUCGCCCGUAUAUGGAUUUCAGUCAAUUUCUGUUUGGAAUUUGGAAAAACAUAAACUUAAAAAGUUGUAGAGAAUUGAAUUUCUUAUGGAAUGGACAUAAAAUUCAAAUUUUUCUGAUAAAAGGACUAAAUAUUAUAAAUUAUUGAAGUUCCGGAAUAAUUGAUUUUUGGAGUUUAAAAUGUUUUUUUUAGAAAAAAGUUUUUUCCAUUUGGUGGGCCCCACUUGCACAUGUUAAUUGUUGAAAUCAGAUGUCUUUGGUGUGCGUAGGAAAUUUAUUAAAAAAUAAUAAUAUUUUUUUAAAUUUUCCGCUUUGGUGUUCUAAGCAUUUUCCUAUAAAUAGGGUGUUUAGGUUAGAAUUGAAAAUCACAUCAAAAACUAAAGUUUUCUCUCUAUAUAUUAUCGAGCAUAUUCUUAUGAGUAUUUUGAUACUUUGAGUGUUGCUAUACAGUGCAAGUUCCUUCAGCACUAUAUCCAGUAUUCCAGUCAGAAGUACUAUCUUUUUGAGGUAAGGGAUGUUAUUUUUUUUAUAAAUGAUAUUAUUUCUUUCAAUAUCAUUAUGCCGGAAUAUUGGUAAGAUUUUUCUUAUGAAAUUCUUGUCUUUUAGUGUCGAGGUUACUAUUUAUGUAUACGAUACUAUUCACAUAUACGGCACUAAUCAUGAAUACGACACUAUUCACAAAAAAAUUCAAUUUUUUUUAAUCCAAGAUAUCUAUUAUGGAUACUAGCUUUGAUUGUAUCCAUGUUUUGAUCUUCAUUCUUGAAUUUUACUCCACUAUGGUUAUUUAUGAAGUAUUUUUGAACUUGGAUUUUUUAAAGUACGAAUUCUUAAUAUUUGUUCUUUUGUUUCACUGGAUUCAUUUUCUUUAAAAUAUUUUUCAUCAUCCUCAGUCCUAAAUGAUGAUAUAACUGAAUAUCUUUGGCCUGUAGUGCAAAGAUGAAUGAUUUCCUGAUGAACAUCUUUGGCCCGUAGUGCAAAUAUGAAUAGGUGUUGAGAUGAACAUGACCAACUGAUGAAUAUCUUUGGCCUGUAGUGAAAAGAUGACUAUUUAAUUCAAGAUGUAUAUUGAUUGAUGUUACGUGGAUGAAAUAUUGAUGAUGGACUUUUAAAAUCAUAGAAGAUAGUAGAUUUCAUUCUCUACGUAACUCUUCUAAUGAAUUGUUAUUUCCGCUACGAAUAUUGAUCUGAAAUUUGUUGUCUAUUAUAUUCUAUCAGAUUUUUCCCUGUUGAAGACUAACGAUAAUUUGUUCUAUAUUAUUUUAGUCAUAAUAUUUUUACUGGGCUAAUUGAGCUCACCCUUUUCCUUUUUGUUCCAUUUUUCUUCUCAUCGGGCGAGAAUGUAGCGAGUACUAGUCGGGGUUUGGAAUGAAGGUUCUAGAAAGUUGUUUUUGUAGUCCUCACUAUUUUGUAAAAUAGUGUAUCAAUAAUUGUAAUGAGGACUUAUUUGAGUGUGGAUAUUGUCUAGAAGACAAUAUUUGUUUUUAAACUCACAAUUUAUGUGUUGUCGUAUUUUGCACGACAAUUGUAUUAAUAAAGUUGUAGUUGUUUCUAUACCAUGUAUUUGACGACUCAGAAUGGGUGAUGUAUACCUAUUUUGGGAGCGUCACAACAGUUGUGCUCUAGGUGUGUCAGGUGUGACUGUUUUGACCUCCUGUAGCAAAAUAACCAUAAGUUUUUCAUACGAACUUCGACUGAGGCGGUUCAGGAUGAUUCGGAAAUAUAACGAGUAGAACUACAACUUUCAUUUCUUAAGUUUUUCGAUUUGAGGUCGGAAACAGGGGUAAAAAUGGCCAUCUUUGGGACUGUUGUAUUUCAGAGGCAAUCAGAGGGCGUCGGGCAUGCACGUAUGCAAGUGUAGUGCUUCUGAUGAUAAAUGAUGUUGUUCUAAGUUAUAAAACAUAAAUUUUAGUAAAUAUAAUGAUGCUUAACAUUAAUAAAUGAUGUAUUAGAUAAGUUGUAUAAGUAUACUAAGCAUACACAAGAGAUAUAAAUCGGGCGUAUGAUGAAUAAACGUCAAAACGCCGUGACAAGUGUUAAGGAACGUAAAAAGUAUUUUAAGUAAAAUGAAAUGAAUAUUAUAAGAUAUAAAAUGGGGUUAAUAUAAAGCUAAUAAGUAGUCCUAGCAAGGCAUAAACACUUGAAUGAACUUCGAGUAUAAAAUAUAGUGAGAUAUAAGUCAAAAAUUAACAUAGUCAAAUUGAACAUUGUGUAUUGAUAAUAGGAAGGGUUAUGAGAUAUAGAGUAAAUUUUACAUUACAACUACUAUGCAUUGCUAUGUGACUAAUAGUUGAUGUGCAUGAUUAUAUAAUUGUGUAGGGUACGUGAAGUGUAGAUAGCUGUAAGGUGUUAAACUAUUACUUGUAAACAACGAUCAAGGCAAGUCUUUUUGUUCCUAUUUGCUAUGUGAACUUGAUGAUGAACUAUUUUAAAUCCUUUUGCAAAGAGCACGAUGUUUUAUAUAUAUGUUAAAAAGAUGAAACAUUAAAGUUAAUUUAUGACUACGUUGAAUGAAUGUUGAUUGAGUAAGGAACUCAAUCUUUAUACUUGUUAUAUGAACUGCAUCAUGUAUGUUAUGUUAGUCCAAUGUUUAUGAGAUAUAUGUUGAGCAUGUUAUUAUGUGCUUUGUGAUGCAUAAAAACUAUUGGAUUUGCUGGGCUGUCGAGCUCAACCUUGCAAAUAAUCACUUUUGCAGGUUAAGGAUUCAAGGUAGUGGUAAGUGUUACUUGAAAGACAUGAAUCAGAUGUAAUGCAUGAAGAUUGAUAUACUUUGGCUGAGUUGUUAUUAUUUGAACCAUGUUUAAGGUUCCAAAAAAUGUAUGAUGUUUAAUAGAUGUUGAGUUAUAAAGUUUAAGUUUUGUUCAUUAUAUAAAGGGCAUUGAACCUGGAGGUAAGUUUUAUUUAUUAACUCUGAUAAAAUGAGUAAUAAACUAAGUAUGGUUCAAAGGUAGGUAAAGAUAAAGGUUUUGAGAAAUGUAAAUCACAAUAAUUAUGUAAUAAUAAGUUGUAAAGUUUGAGUUAUCUGAUAUGUAAAGGUUAUCGGAUUGAAAUGUAAGAUUCUAUAUAAUAACUUUGAUGAAGAGAAUCAUAAAAUAAAAUUGAUUCAGAGAUGUGUAAAUGAUAAAGGUUUUGAUUUUAGGGAAUUAAAGUAAGAAGACAUAAAAGUUUUAAUAUUUCACAUUUUAUUAAGUUUAACAUCGAAUAAUAAUGUAAAAUCAGAAGUUAGACGUAUUAUUAACGACCAAAGUCGAUAGUUAAAUUGUAUGAAUUUUGGGAUCGUUACAGUUGGUAUCAAAGUUGUAGGUUAGAAACCUUAGGUAGGAGUACCUUAGGCUAUAACCUUGGAAAAGAAAGUUGAAGAUUGUAAAGAAUGAACUCAAUUAAAGUUUGAACAAUAAGAAAUAAAUUUAAGAAAUGUAUAGGGAAAGGAUUAAAAUAUAUAUGAGAAGGUUCAAAGAGGAAUCUUGAAAACUUAUAAAAGAUGAGAAUCAAGAGUUACCUGACUCUAGUAAUAAGAUGUUAAGUGUUAUUAAAUAGACGAUGUCUACAAGAUGAAGAUUAUUAAGAUAAUAAGAAUGAACUCAAAUAGAGUUUAAUUGAUGAUAUAUUCAGAGAAUGCUUAUGAACAAGUUAAGAUAAUAUGUGUGGGUUCAAAGAAGAACCUUAAGAGUUAAAAUUGAGUCGAAUAAUCAUAAGACAACAUAACUAAAGAGGAAGUAAUGAGGAUCGUGAAACCAAAAUGAUCAUAAAAUAAGAAAGGAAUCAUAAAUAAGGUAAUUGUAGAAUAAGAUCACGACGUGAUCUGGUUAAGUUGUAAAAUGAUAGAUGGUCUGUAAUGAAUGAAUAGUUAUAGCUUGAUGCUAUAAGAUAAUGUACUAUGAUAGAGUACGAGGUAAACUCAUGAGUAGUUAUAAAUGAUGAGAUACAGAAAAUUUGUAUCAAGUAAAGAACAAGUUAUGAGAAAGAUAGAGUUAGGUGGGAUUUCAAUUGAGGACUCAUGUGAUGGCUGAGUUGUACAAACCUUUGUAUGGGCGAGGGUUUUGUACUUGUACUCAGUUUAUCACAUUGAUAAUCAUUAGAAUAUUGGUGUCGUGAUAUCAAUGUAUAUAUGGUGAAAAGGUGAUUCUUUUCUCAUGUGUAUAUUUGAUAGUUAUAGACCAUUAAGAUUAGUCAGAUAUUAUUAGGAUUAGGUGCGAGUUCUUAAAACUCAUACUUAUGAUAACUUGAUGACUCAUAAUCAUUUGUAUGUUUUUGAACCCCUAAGCAUGUGUGGACAGUCCCUGAUGGGUUCUUGGACUACAUAUUGCUAGGACAAGUUCCUAAACUCAUAUUAUUGUUGCAAGUUCCUGAACUUCUAAUGUGUGGUAAGUUUGAUGAACAAUAUUGGGUAUAGAAAAUUUGUAAAUUGAGAUAUAAGAAUUUUUAGUAUAAGAGCAUUGGUGGUGCUAGAAAUAAAAUGAAUUAGUAAGUAAUGAAGUUGACGGAGAGAAUUAGAUAUUCCAGAUCUUCUAGCUUUGCUAGAUUUUUGAAAUUUAUUGACUUCGUGCUGAUGUUUGUACUUCUAUUUUCUUGAAAAACAUUGGAUCAAAUGAUGGAACCAAUGAGUUUUAAAAACGAUAUCGUUAUUUGUAUGUCUAUGCUAAUUUUUUUGGCUAGACAAAAAAAAUGAUUUAAAAAUAUCAAAAUGUAUUUUGUUUUUCCGUAGUCAUUAAAGCAUCACUAAGUAUAAUGUUUUUAUGAAAAAUGAGGAAGUCAUCAAUACAGUUGAACCUAGUGUUGGAUGUGAUCAUAAGAUCGUCAGCCCACUACGGUAUGAUGUAGCAUGACAAAGUUAUAUAAUGACUGAAUCCUCAAUGUACUAUUAAGAUAUUACGGUAUCAUGACAUCAUAAAAAGGAUUUUUACUUUUCUUUAAAUAAGAAAGAUAUGCCAAUUGAAUUGGCUAAAACUAUUUCAAUUGGUGUUCGAGUUGUUGGUAAAAGUUUAAGUUAUUUGAUUCAGCUAGACGAUUAUUGAAUGAUGUUCAUGAAAUUCAAGUGUUUUUUGUCAAACUAUACCAAAACAAAUUGUUUUGGUGUGGAUUCAAAUGUUAAGAAGCUGAGGUGAACAACCCUGUAAAACGGGACAUGUUAUCGGAGACAAUGGUUCCGAAAGUAACGCAUAUAGUCGUUACGAUGUUAAGAUAUACGUUGUGAAUGGCGUAGGGGUACGAUAGGCUGAUCACCUAGAGUACUUGCAGAGAGUGUUUUCAGUUAGUGUGAUUGCUAAACAUUCUGUUAAAGAUGGUUUACUAUGGUGAUGCACUAUUAACAUAGAGAAGAGUUCAAGGUCCAUAUAGUCUUAUGAUUGUUAAAGGUUUAAGUUGAGAUACUUGAUAACCUAGGGAUGUAGUUCUAGGUCUUGUGACCCCUCAACAUGAUUUGAGAAUCUUUUAAAUUCCUGAGUUGUUCAUACUGCAUCCCAAUUAUUGAACAAUUAUGGAAGAUUCUUAUUAUUCUGAAGGGUGAAUGUCGCAAGGAGGAUAUUCCUUAGAAAAAAGUAAUUUGUGGAAACACAACAUGUGAUGAUGAGUAAAUUGAGGAAACAUAAUAAUUUCAAGAAAAAAAUGAAAUUCUAGAAAGAAGGGAAAUGCAAAACUCUUAUAAGAGGAAGAGAUGAGGAAUACAAUGAUCUUAGAAAGAUCCUUAGAAAAAGAAUUUGGUUGUAGAACCUAAUGAAUAAAUGAAUAUUAACAUGAAAUCUAUUUUGAUAAAUGUAAUGAACGAUUAUUAAUAAAUUAAAAUUUCGAUGAAGAAAUUCUUAGAAGAAGGGGUGAAUAUAAUACCCCAAGUGUUUAUGAAUUGAGUAUGUGAUAAUGAUAUUUAGAGGAAGGUAUUGAAUGUGUUAAAGAAUAUGUAAUACUCAAAUGUAAUUGAGUCUAAGUAAAAGUUAUGAAAUAAAACUUACAAGAAUUUAUUGUGAAGAAUGGUUGGAGUGGUAAUAAAUAAAACCUAUAUUAAGGUAAUGGUUGAAGAUAUGCAACGAUAAAUUUUGAAAAGAGAUUUGGUGAUAACUGAGUAAGGGAGGUUUCGUUGAUUUCGAGGACGGAAUCCUUAUAAGGGUGGAAGGAUGUGACAAUCCAGAUUUUUAGAAAUUAUUAGAUAAGAAUUUAUAAAAUAAAAUUCUUAUUAUUAGAUGUAGGAUUUUGAAAUAUGUGAUUUUAUGGGAAAAAGAUUAAAUAUAUAUGAGAUUUAAUAGUUAAUUAAACUAUUGAAGAAAUUAAAUAAAAUUGUUAUGGAAAGGAAUUAACUGAAUAAAUAUUGGUUAAUUUAAACAGAUUUGGGAAUUAUAUUAUGAAGUAAUAUAAUUUAAUUUUCAUGCCUUUAUUGGCGAUGAAAUUAUUAUGAAUUAAAUUUCAUAAAUAAUGUGAGUAAUUCACUUAAUUAAAAUAGUGAAUUAGUGUAAGCAUAUUUGUUUUAAUAAAUGAGGAAGUGAUAUAUUACAUAUGAGUGUAAUAUAUUAAUGUAAUAUGAUUGUGGAUCUCGUAAAUAAUUAAAAUAUUUAUUGAAUAAAAUAAAUAUUUUAGUUGGAAUAUUUAUGGAAUUUAAAAUGAAUAUUUGAUGGAAAUUAUUAUGGGAUAAUUUAUGUAUGUAUGAUACUAUUGAUCAAAAUUAAUAAUUUAAGAAUUGGUGCGUAUUUUAUUACAUGAGGAUAAUGAUAAUAUUCUAAUUUAAUUAAAUAAUUACAUUAGAAUAUUAAUGAUUUAUUAAAUAAAAUUAUAAUUGUUUAAUUAGAGAUUAUAAUUUUGUUAGUAAGAUUUAAUUAGAUUUAUUAAUAAAAUAAGUUUAAGUAAAUUUAAGUUUGACAAAUAUAACCUAUGAUAAAAAAAUUUAUUAAAAUAAUUGAAAGUGGUGCCUAAGGAAGCUAGCCAAACAAGGUCUUGUGACCUUUGGAGUUUGGUAAUCAAUGAAGGAAUUGAGCUUUUACGUUAAAAACAAAAAUGAUCAGAUAGCUUGUUCUUCAGUAAAAUGAAAUUUGGGAGAGUGGGAGAGUGAGAGAAUUCUCUGAGAAUUAGAGAAGAGCUUUGGAAGAACAAGAAGAAAAGAACUUUAUUAUCAUCUAAUUAGGUUAAGAAGGAAUCAAAAGGUAUUAAUCCUAACUUAAAACUCUCUACUCUUAUUUGCCUCAAAUAUUAGGUUUCUAAAAAAUUAAUUUGGGUUGAUGAAGGAUGGGGAUAUAUUUGUUUAUAGGUGUGUAUAAUGUGUGAUAUUUUAUUUAUUAACGAUUUUAGAGUUAUCAAAUUCAUGUACAUAUGUUUUUAGAAUAAGGAAUUUUAUUUAUGGCUUAGUAUAUGUAUUUUGGUCUAUUUAAGGCUUCAAUUAAUCACUACAAGAAAAUCGUCUAAUUCCGACGGAACUAAGUUCGAUGGACCUAUUCCCUCAAAGAUAAUAAGAAUUCCGAUGGAUUAUUUAGUCGAACAUAAUUCAAUCGAAACUAUAGUAAUUUCGAUGGAUGUUCGUCGGAAAUAGAUGCAUCCAUUUGGCACCAUUGUUCUCGCCAGCGCCCAUCUUAUAUUCGACUGAAUAGUGUUUAUCCUCGACGAAAUAUCCGUCGAGGAUACCUUAUGUACGACGGACUUAAGUUUGAUGGACAUUCGGUCAGAACUAAUCUUUAAACCUAAUUAAUCAACUUGUCUUCCCCAGCCGCCCCUCACUCUCUCACUUUGCUCUCUCUCUCUCAUUUCUCUCUCAUUUUACGCUCUCUCUCACUUCAUUCUCUCUCUAAGUCUCACUUCUCUCUCACUGCUCUCAUCUCCACCACCACCUUCGCCACCAACACCACCGGUUCCACCACCACCACCGUCGGUUCCACCACCACCAGCAGACGCCACCACCAUCGUCGGUUCCACCACCAUUACUGCCACCACCACCAGCAGCCACACACCACCAGGCACCACCGUCAGUUUCACUCCUUUAUUUUACACAUUAAUUCAAUUUCAAGGUUAGUUUUCUGCAAAGCAUUAGAUUUUUAGGGUUAAUUUGUUGUAAAUUGUUAAAUAAAAAUUAUUUUUGAAUGUCUGAAAGUUAUAAUAUUUCUAAAAUUUGUAUGAUAUUUCUGAAAUUUGUGGCUUAAUUUGUAUGAUGUUGUUGCUGUGAAUUUGUGGGUCAAAAAUUUAGGUCCUGUUGUUUAAAUUGGGAGUCUAAAAUAUGAAAUUUGGGUCUUAUUCUUCUUGUUUAUAUUGCUGAAAUUGGAAUUUUGAUUUUGGAAUGUGGACUGCACUGCAUAUUAUUUGGAAUCUGGAAAUUGCUGAAUAUUGAUAUUAUGAAGUGUAUAACAUAUCAAAUUUGGGUUCCUUAUCAUAAUGUAACUGAUUUUAGGACUGUUUUUAAUCUUGAUAUAUUUGCUAUUUUUGACAGAAUUUAUGACAGAAAUUCUGUCAGAAUUAUGAAAUUGCAGAAUAUUUGUGGGCCGUGCAUGUAUUGUAUUAGUAAUUAGUUUCCCAAUAUUAAUAAAUCAUAAACUAAGUACCAUUUACUUAGUUUCUUACUACUAAAAUAAAAUAAAAUAAAAUAAAUAUAAUUUAAUUUAGUUUAUUAAAUAAAAUAAAUUUUAAAAAUAAAAUAAAUAACAUAAUAUAAUACAAAAUAAAGUAAAGUAAAGUAAAAUAAUAAAUUAAAAUAAUUUGAAUAAAAUAAAAAAACUUUAAUUUAAUUUAAUAAAUAAAAUAUAAUUCAAUAAAAAAUAAAAUAAAAUAAAAAUAAUAAAAUAAAAUAAAUUUAAUUUAAUUUAAAUAAUCUAAAUUGAAUUAAAUUAAAUUUAAAUAAUCUAAAUUAAAUUAAAUUAAAUUUAAGAAAUUUAAUAUAAUUUAAUAAAAAAACAUUAAAAAUUAUAUAAUAUAAUACAAGAUAAAAUAAAAUAAUUUUAAUUACGAAAUUAAAUUAAAUUAAAUUAGAACUUAUAUAAUAUAAUACAAAAUAAAAUAAAAAGUAAUAAAAAAAUUUAAUUUAAUUUAGUUUAAUAAAUAAAAUAAAAUAAAAUGAUUUAAUUUAAUUUAAUUUAGUUUAAUAAAUAAAAUAAAAUAAAAUGAUUUAAUUUAAUUUAAUAAAGUAAAUUUAAUAAAUAAAUAAGCCAAUUAUUUAAUAUACUACAAAUUAAAAUAAAACAAAUAUAAUAAUAAACUAAGUAGGAGUGAAUGUCGAACAGUAGUCUUUAUAGAUUCUAAAUAACAAUUUUCAUAAACUAAGUACCACCUACUUAGUUUAUCAUCAUUGGCAAAAUAAACUAAGUAGCUAGGAGUGAAUGUCGAACAGUAGUCUCUAUAGAUCCCAAAUAAAAUUCUCAUAAACUAAGUACCACUUACUUAGUUUAUCAUUGGCAAAAUAAACUAAGUAGCAUUUGCAUAGUUUGCCACAAUUUUCAAUAAAUGCAAUAAUACUCUCCCUACAUAUAUGUACUCUUUCUUGUAUGCAGGUUUCGACCCGCAUAUACACUUCCUAGAGGUAAUAUUUUUUUAUGUUUCAUGAAAUUAUCUAAAUUUAUCACAUUAUAUAAAUUAUUAUUAGUAAUCGAAUUUGUAUCUCUUUAUAGGCUCCAGUCAGCGCCAGCGUCCGAGAGCACAUGUCGGACCAUCUCAUACGGGAGCUAGCUUUGAUGACGAUAUCUUCCGACGGCUUAUAGGGGCCGUGUCGGAUAGGUUCUGUAUCGAUCCGGUCUAUCGGCGUCAGUAGUUGCCUUCCAAUUCUCGUCUUCACUAGAUUUCUCAGGAUAUUAUAGCAGCCCUCUGCAGAGAGUACAGGAUUACCACGGGAGCAGUUCGACGCUUGGAGUGCCGAGAUGCUCCGGAUGGUGAUUACCCUCUUGGAGGAGGCUUUUCGUCCGCCCCCACCUACUCAGGUAUUCUUAUUGUUUAUGUUUUUUUCAAUUAAGGCUAGCUUGUUAAUUCUCAUAUAUAUAUAUAUAUAUAUAUAUAUAUAUAUAUAUAUACAGACUAAUGAUUUAUAUUUUUAAUUCUAUCAAUAAGGUGGCGAUGGCGAGCAGGUUGGCGAUGAAGAGCAAGAGCACGACGCUAAUUUCCAUACACCAGAGCAGCGUCGUUCACCUCCGCCCGAUGAUGAUAUUUUUACUAGUUUAUAGUUCAUUUGUAUUCAUGUUAUUGUAGAACAUUUGUACAUAUUGUAGUGUCUAAUUGUGUCUGUACAAGUAUGGUGAAUUAUAUUGUUUAUCAUUUAUGGAACAUUAACUUAUAUUUGUAAUUGGUUAGCUCAGUAAUGUUGAUGAUAAUAAGUUGAAGAUUACAUUUGGUGGAUAUUUGAAUGUGAAUGUGAAUGUAUGUGAAUGAUAAUGAGUUGGAUAUCGCAUAAUGAGUUGGAUAUUACGUUUUAGCGUUAACAAAAAAUUUUUGAAUGUGAGAUACAGGUUUAUAUUACUGUGUAUUGGGUUGUGACAGGUUACAGGUACAUAAAUGGGUUUAAACAAAUGGAAACUGAACUUUACAAAUCAGCAUUUAAAAAAAAUUACUGUUAUUUACGACAGAAUAAGGUGUUUCCGACGGAUAUUCCAUCGGUGUUAAUAAGAACAUAAUUUUUCAUAGACACUGUUAUAUUUUAAUUUUUAGUUGGAAAUAAGUUAAUUCCGAGGGAAUAUAGCCGUCGGAACUAAGUUAUCUCUGACACAAAUUUUGUCGGAAUUAAUAAUUAGCUAGUUUAAAUAAAUACCAGGUUAUUUUAGUAUUCAGUCCAAAAUAACGUAUUUCUGAGGGAAUAGAUCCAUCGAGUAUAAGAAAUGUAAUGUUUGACGAAAAAUUUUAUCCUAAUUAUUCAGUCGCAAAUAUAUUAUUUGCGACGCAUUUUUCGUCGGAGAUAAGUUCGUCGAAGAUAAGAAAAAUCUGACAGAGUUUUUGACGGAUUUUAUCUUCGACGCGUUUAUAUACGAUUGCAUUUCUGAAGAAAAUUUUCGUCGAAAAUGGUCUACUUUCGACUGAAUAGGCUUAUGUCCGAGGGAAUAUUCUGUCGAACCUAAGCUUUUUUCUUGUAGUGAAUGGUUAGAUCAUCUAUAUAAUCUGAAAUUGGUGCUAGCCAUUGUUAGUAUAUUGAAUUAAGAAAACAACGAAGGUUAAACGGAUCAAUUUGGUUAAGAAACGAAUUUGUAGUGAAUGAAUUCGCUACACAUGUUAAAACAUGAAAAUAGAACAUAAACAUGAGUUUUGGGUUAAGAUUUAGGUUGAUUAUUAUUUCUGUAAAUUGUUAUAAUUCUAUUAUGUUGUAUUUAUAUAAAUUACGGAUCAAUAGAAUCGAAAACGAACUAAUUUGGAUGUGUAUAACUCAAGUUAUGAAAAUUAGAAGGAGAAAAAGUUCAAAAAUCGCGAGAUUAGUAAACUACAGAAUCUGGCUCUGCUAACAGGUGCAGCUGCAUUGUGCCCUAAGUCUUUUGGGGUGCAGAUGCACUCUUGGGCGCAGCUGUGCUGUGUCCAAGGCUUAAUUAGGCACAGCUGCACUCUAGGUGAGUCAGGUGUGUCUAUUUUGACCUCCUGUUGUAAAAAAGCCAUAACCUUUUAAUAAAAACUAUAAUUGAGGCAGUUUAGGAUGAUUCAGAAAGAUAACAAGUAGAACUACAACUUUCAUUCCUUAAGUUAUUCGUUUUGAGGUCGGGAACAGGGGUAAAAGUGGCUAUCUUUGGGACUAUUGUGUUUUUGGAGGCAAUCGAGGGGCGUCGGGCUUGCACGUAUGCAAGUGUAGUGCUUUUGACGAUAAAAGAUGUUGUUCUAAGUUAUAAAACAUGAAUUUUAGAAAAUAUAAUGAUGCUUAACAUUAAUAAAUGAUGUAUUAGAUAAGUUGUAUAAGCAUAUUAAGCAUACACAAGAGAUAUAGUCAAAUGAAAUGAAUAUUAUAAGAUAUGAAAUAGGUUUAAUAUAAAACCAAUAAGUAGUCCUAGCAAGACUUUAACACUUGAAUGAACUUCGAGUAUGAAAUAUAGUUAGAUAUAAGUCAAAAGUUAACACAGUCAAAUUAAACAUUGUGUAUUGAUAAUAGGAAGGGUUGAGAUAUAGAGUAAAGUUUACAUUAUAACUACUAUGCAUUUCUAUGUGACUAAUAGUUGAUGUGCAUGAUUAUAUAAUUGUGUAGGGCACGUGAAGUACAAAUAGUUGUAAGAUGUUAAACUAUUACUGGUAAACAACGAUCAAGGCAAGUCUUUCAGUUCCUAUUUGUUAUGUGAACUUGAUGAUGAACUGUUUUAAAUUCUUUUGCAAAGAGCAUGAUGUUUUAUAUAUAUGUUAAAAAGAUGAAACGUUAAAGUCAAUUUCUGACUACGUUGAUUGAGUAUUGAAUGCUGAUUGAGUAAGAAACUCAAUUUUUAUACUUGUUAUAUGAACUGCAGCAUGUAUGUUAUGUUAGUCCAAUGUUUAUGAGAUAUAUGUUGAGCAUGUUUUUAUGUGCUACGUGAUACAUGAAAACUGUUGGAUUUGUUAGGUUGUCGAGCUCAACCUUUCAAAUAACCACUUUUGCAGGUUAAGGAUUCAAGGUAAUGGUAAGUGCUACUUGAAAGACAUGAAUCAGAUGUAAUGCAUGAAUAUUGAUAUACUUUGGCUGAGUUAUUAUUAUUUGAACCUUGUUUAAGGUUCCGAAUAAUGUAUGAUGUUUAAUAGAUAUUGAGUUUUAAAGUUUAAGUUUUGUUCGUUAUAUAAAGGGUAUUGAGCCUGGAUGUAUGUUUUAUUUAUUAACUCUAAUAAAAUGAGUAAUAAACUAAGUAUGGUUCAAAGGUAGGUAAAGAUAAAGGUUUUGAGAAAUGUACUUGAUAAAUCAUACUAAUUAUGUAAUAAUAAAAUGUAAAGUUUAAGUUAUCUGAUAUGUAAAGGUUAUCAUAUUGAAAUGUAAGAUUCUAUAUAAUAACUUUGAUGAAGAGAAACAUAAAAUAAAAUUGAUUUGGAGAUGUGUAAAUGAUAAAGGUUUUGAUUCGGGGAAUUAAAGUAAGAAAUAAAAGUUUUAAUUAUUCUGUAUUUUAUUAAGUUUAACAUCGAAUAAUGAUGUAAAAUCAGAAGUUAGAUGUAUUAUUAACGACCAAAGUUGUUAGUUGAAUUGUAUGAAUUUUGGGGUCAUUACAUCUAUCCAUUUUUGGGACACACAACUUCAGUAUGGGAUGUCUUACCAAAGAAAUUUAGUUUAACACAACAGUUUAUGCUCAAUAAACAAUAUCAGAUGAAUAAACGAUUCAUUUCUGAGUUAUGCUGAAGCUAUAGCAAUAAAUUUACAACAAUUGGCAAUUCAAAUUUAGGUUUGCUAUAGCAUAUCAAAAGCAAUUUUAAGAUAGGCAUCUUGUUCAACAAAUAAGUAGGGUUUGGUAACUUGCGUAAUUAAUAAUUUGGGUUUAGUUAACUUGUCUGAGCGAAGACCAGUCAAGCAAUGCCACUCGAUUCGUUAAUAAACACCUAAGAUGUUCAUUCAUAUAAAUCUAACAUAUUAGUAUUGAUAACAAUACUCAAAUACAUAAACUAUUUAUGUUCGGGUUAAGUUUGAUAUGGUUUCGGUGUUCAAAGACUUUAUCGGGUAAUUAAUAAGUUAAUAACUCGAUUAAACUUUAUUUAUAAGCUUUAUAAUAUUUUUAGAUAAUUUAAAUAUCUUUUAUAAUAAUUUUUGGAAGCUUAUAAUAAUUUUUAAAUAUUUAUUUAUCCCUUAAAUAAUUUUUAAAUAAUUUAUUUCUAUUUUUAAAUAAUUAAUAUUUACUUAGAAUAUUAUAAAAACUUUUUUUACUAUUUUUAAAUAAUUUAUAAAAAUUUAUUAUGAUUUUCAAAUCAUUUAUAUUAUUUUAAAAUAAUUAUUUAUUAUUUAUAAAUAAUUAUUAUAUUUAUUUUAUUAUUAAAUUAAUUAUUAAUAAUAUCCAAAUAAAUAAAAUAUUUAUUGAAUUUAUGUAAAAAUAUUAAAAAUUAAUUAUUAUAGCUUAAAAUAAUAUUUUAAAACUUUUUUAUAAUUAUUUAUAUUUAUUUAUUAAUUAUUUCUAAUUUUUAUUAAUUUAUUUAUUAGAAAAUAUUUUCUGUUUGUCGUUAAUGCCCUAUAGCGACAGAAAGUGUCACUAUAAGUGUUCUUGAGUUUCUGGAAAUUAGUUGAUCAUGGCCUAGAGACCACUUUGACCUUGAUCUAAUUCUAUAUUGUUGAUGAUUUUGGGUUUGAAAGUGUAUGAAUGUUAUAGUACUCAUACCAUAGUAUAAUAUCAUACCUUCAUGCUUUAACCUACAUAUAACAAGAAGUUAUAGAGGCUCAAAGUCACUAUCAGUGCUGUUCUUGAGUUUUUGGGUAACCCAAAAUAGUGUUCAUGGUUGGUCAACGGUUUUGUAUAUUCUAGAUCUUUCAAUCCGUGUGAUAGAUUUGUGUUUUGUUUGUUGUAACAGGUAGUCUAUAUAUCAAGGUACAUACAUGUACUACUGAUUUGGACGAAGUAUGAUUCUAAAGCCUCGAUCUAUGUUGGUCAAAGUACAACCAAAGGUUGUUCUUCAUUUUCAUUAGUUUUCGGGGUAACCCAGAAAACUUAGUCAUGCUCGAUCAACGAAUUUUGACCAUUAAUUCUGGUAAUCCUAUGAAUUGUUUAAACAUUUGAGUGUCAUAAAUAUGUAGUAUGCAUAUCAGAGUAUUAAUUCAUUACAAUUAGUCAUUAUAACAUCAAACAGAAAGCGAUUAACAAGUUGGUCAAAGUAACCGGUUCAACCUAUUCUUGAGUUUUCUGGGUAACUCAGAAAAUAGAACUUCGUGAUCGGUCAACCACCUAUAUCUUGCAAUAUAUGGUUCCAAUGAACCUAUUUUCUUUUAUAGAUUAAAGACCUCAUGUUAUACUACAACUAAUAUACAAUUAACAGACAUAACUACUAACAUACACGGAUCUACAGGCUCUGACAUUCGACUGUCAGACCUAGUUUUCCAAAAUUUCCAGAUUACUUAAAACACUAUUUUGAUGCAUCUAGAUGUUAUGAAAACAUGUUCUAUCAACUUAGCAUAGUUUUUAACAUGUUAUUACAUAUAUCUAAACAUCUAAACAACAAAUUAAACAUAACAUCAAAGAUCUAGCUUAAAAUUAGGGUUUGCACCUUUUCUUAAUUGAUUUUGAUUUCUGGCUACUAAAUCUGUUGUUGCUAUCACCAAGGCUUGUUUAGGCAGGUUAUAUGAGUGUAUAGGCUUGUAAAUUUUGUGAGUUUACACUGAAAUAAGGCUGCCUUUUAUAGAAUUUUCAAACUCGGGUUUUUGGUCAUUUAAUCACCUACUUGCCUCCCAAAAUAUCUGAUAUGUGACUUAGAUGCUGCUUGGGAGUUUGGAAGCAGGUCAUGUGAUGUUUUGAAACUAGUGUUGAUUACUCUUAACCUACUUGUGAGCUAGUUGAUCAAAUUAGUAGCUUAAUUAUGCCUUAAUUCUCCUUAAUCUUGAUUAGGGUUUUGGUUUUUAUGAUUAAGGUUGCAUAAUGAUGUUUAUUAGUACCUAAUUGAAGUUUAGCAAUCAUGAUUAGGUGUUAGGAUAACCUAAUUAGGGUUUAAUAUAACUAAUUAUGCUUAGGAUUUACAAAUUAGGGUUAGGGUUUGUAAUCUAAGGUUAGGGUUUAUAAUCUAGGGUUCCUAACUUAGAUUUUUCACAAAUCCUAACAAGCAUUAUCCGGAAAAAUUCAAGACUCCUGAUUUUGAGAAAUAUGAUGGAUUGGGAGAUCCUUAUACCCACUUAAAGGUCUUCAUUGGAGAGCUCGGAUCAUAUGCCGAGAAUGAAAAGCUCAGAAUGCAGCUAUUUCAGAAAAGUAUGACUGGAGAAGCCAGAGCCUAGUACACCAGAUUGGAUAACUAAAAAAUUCACAGUUGGGAGGAGUUAGCACAUGCUUUCCUCAGUCAAUACAGCUUCCAAACCCAGAUGGCUGUAGGCUGGUAUCAAAUUACCAAGGUCAAGAAAAAAAUCAAUGAGUCAUUCAGAGAGUAUGCCCAAGGAUGGAGACGUCUAGCUGCUUAAAUUAUCUCGUUUAUGAUUGAGUCAGAAAUGGUGAUGACCUUCAUAAAUAUUCAAGAAGCUCCAUUUUAUGAGGGUCCUAGCUGGAAUAGGAAAGCCAUUCUCAGAAAUGAUCAAGCACGAAGAAAUAGCUGAAAUGGGAUUGAAAUCUGGGAAGAUUCAAGACCUCGCCGCAUUAAAAGCCAUUGUUGAGCAUAUCCAAUCUGGAAGUUAUGGGAACAACCACCGGAGGGUCCAUAAGAAGAAAGAAGAGGAUGUUUCCUUGAUACUGCAAGGACAAAAAGACAAUCAAAACUUGCCUAUUCAAAGGAGAAACUAUUCCCCUUUUAAAGCUUAGUCUUCAAAUCCUCCCUUGCCAAAGAGUGGAGAAAUCAGAUGUACAAGAGUGUUCACACCCUUAGGUGAUUCACUAAAAAACAUUCCCAAACUUCUGACAGAUCAGAAGAAAAUUACUAAUCUCCUUCCACCAGCCAACCUGAGUGGGAAAGGUUUUAACACAAGUAAGAAGUGUGCUUACCAUGCUGGAGUUCCAGGCCAUGACACUCAUGAUUGUUGGGCCCUUUAGCAUAAGAUCUAGGAUUUAAUUGACAAUGGUGAGAUCAUGGUGACCAAGCCCGACCAACCACGUAUUCAAAACAACCCUCUCCCUCAACAUAAGGAAGAGGAGGCUAACAUGAUCAACCGGGGUAGUGGAGAGAGCUCCAAAUCCUUUAAAUAUGUGGGUGGUUCAUCCCAAAUCAACAAGGAUAAUUCCGAAAAAUGGGAGUAUUCACAUUUCCAGUUUCAUGAUGGAACGGGAGUUAAAAUCUCUUGGCGAACAAGUCAAUCAAUUGGCAGAACUAGUAAUUCAUCAACACCAAGUCAGACGUCAGUUGUUCAGUCAUGAGCAUGCUAACCUCAUUUCUCUUAUCACAAGAACUCCACCACUUAUCCCAGAAAAGUGAAACAUUGGAGGAAAUUCUUUCCAGAAAAGCAAAAGCUAAAUCCCGUCGGGACUUCGCCAGCAAAAGGGAAUUCACCUAUUUAGGCCAACCGAUGGAAGAAAUUUUGCAGAUGCAGAUCAAUGAGGGAAAAGUAAUAGCAUUGCUACCUCCAGUCAAUCCACGCUCAAAGAGGUUUGAUGCUAUUGGAGUAUGUCAAUACCACUCCCAAUCUCGAGGUCACAUCACUGAGGAAUGCUGGGCACUCCGCCAUCUUAUUCAAAACAUGUUUGACAGCGGUGACCUGUAAAUGGUAGAUAAUGAAGUUGUAUCAUCUAAGAAUGGGGACACAUUUCCUUCAAUAUGGAAGGAAGUUAUAGUAGUUAUAUCCUCUGAGGGAGAUUCAGCUGCCACACCUCUUACAAUUCAACCAAUUCAGUUCAAAGGAGUUGAAAACCCUUUGAAAGUGGCUACAACAAAGCCAAUCAUAUUAUCGUUCAGGCCACAAUAUCCGAUCAUCAGCCUUAAGAAAGUGCCAUUAAACUAUGGAGAGGCUGAAAGAUCAACAUCAAAUAUAAUUGCUGCAGUGUCUAAAUAAAAUCCAUUGUAUCUUCCUCAACGAGUGAUGAAGCCUAUCAUCCGAUCUAAGGGGAAAGUGCCCAGGGAAGAAGAUUAAAGAAUUCUUCUGCAAGAUGGGAUAACUCAUCAACUGGAAGUCAACAAGGAGGGCAGAAGAAGAAGAUCGAAGCAUGCUCAACCUGCGGAAAAACUCAUUUGGGAGUUUGCUUAAAAGGAAAAUGAGUGUGCUACAAUUGUGGUCAGGAAGGCCACAUAACACCUAACUAUCCUAACCCAAAGAAGGGUGCCUUCUUCACAUGUGGCUCAAAGGACCAUCUUGCAAGAGAUUGUCCUAAGAAAGGAUCGGGAGGGACGAGUUCAAGAGGAAAUAGAGGAAAUACUGGUGGACGCACUCUGACCAUUGCUGGACAAACCGCAACCAAUAGACCAACAGCCAGAACGUUCAACAUGACAGUGCAGGACGCGGUACAGUCUCGCGAUGUGGUGUCAGGUAUCAUUCCGAUCAAUAAAGUUAAUGCUUACGUGUUAUUUGAUUCGGGUGCUACUUGUUCAUUUAUAUCCGAUGACUUCGCUAAGAACUUAGAAUUGUUUAAGGACGAGUUAGAAUACCCCAUGAACAUAGAAAUGGCGAAUAGAGAAAUUAUCCCUGUUAAGUAUGUGCACAAGAACUAUAGAGUAGAUAUUAAGGGUAAUAUCAUGAACGUAGAUCUUAUCCCUAUUCGACUUGGAGAAUUUGAUGUUAUUUUGGGUAUGGAUUGGUUAUCCAAUAAUGGGGCGGUAAUCGACUGCCAAAAGAAGCGUAUUAACCUUAUGACUCCGUCAAAGGUUGUGUUUUAUGGUAGCAAGUCGCCUAAACAAGCGAGUUGUUUGACGAUGAUGCAGGCCAGGAGGUUGUUAAGGCAAGGCUGUGUAGGAUAUCUAGCUUACAUAGUCGAUAGUCAUAAAGAGAAUCCAAAAAUAGAUGAGAUACCAGUAGUGAGAGAUUUCACAGACGUAUUUCCGGAUGAUUUACCAGGACUUCCUCCAGAUAGAACAGUUGAAUUCGUGAUCGAUUUGGCUCCAGGAACGACCCCAAUAUCGAAGGCACCACACCGAAUGGCACCGGUAGAUAUGAAAGAACUGAUGGUCCAACUACAAGAAUUACUGGACAAAAAGUAUAUUCAACCAAGCGUAUCACCUUGGGGAGCGCCGGUUUUAUUUGUGAAAAAGAAGGAUGGGACGAUGCGGCUCUGCAUCGACUAUAGAGAACUGAAUAAGGUCACGAUUAAGAAUAGGUAUCCAUUACCGUGAAUCAACGACUUGUUCGAUCAGUUAAAGGGAGCAAAAUAUUUUUCAAAGAUAGAUUUGAGAAGUGGUUAUCAUCAACUAAAGGUGAGACCAGAGGAUGUACCGAAGGCAGCGUUUAGAACACAAUACGGUCACUAUGAAUUUCUGGUAAUGUCAUUUGGUCUAACGAAUGCUCCUGCAGCAUUUAUGGGCUUAAUGAAUGGAGUGUUCAAGCCGUUUUUGGACAAAUUCGUAGUGGUAUUUAUAGAUGACAUUUUGGUAUAUUCAAAAACCAAGGAAGAACACAAAGAGCAUUUGAGGAUGACACUAGAGACAUUGAGAAGAGAGAAGUUGUAUGCUAAGUUUUUGAAAUGUGAAUUUUGGAUUGAAAGAGUACAAUUUCUUGGACAUGUGAUUGAUAAAGACGGAAUUUCGGUGGAUCCCUCCAAAGUCGAAGCUGUGAUUAACUGGGAUCAGCCGAAGACGUCGUCGGAAGUAAGAAGUUUUCUUGGAUUAGCGGGUUAUUACAGAAGAUUCAUUUAGGAUUUUUCCAAGAUCGCAACUCCGUGACGAAUUUGACUAGGAAAUCGGUGAAAUUUGUUUGGACGGAGAAGAGGUUAAGUUCAGCACAUGUGUUAUCUCUUCCAGAUGACACAAGAAAUUUUGUGGUUUAUAGUGAUGCAUCGCAUAAAGGACUUGGCUGUGUGCUUAUGCAGAAUGGCAGAGUCAUUGCGUAUGCGUCAUGACAACUGAAAGAUUAUGAGAAGGGGUAUCCAACCCACGACUUGGAGUUAGCUGCAGUGGUUUUUGGUUUGAAAAUCUGGAGGCACUAUCUCUAUGGGGAGAAGUGUGAAAUAUAUACAGAUCACAAGAGUCUGAAAUAUAUUUUUACACAGAAAGACUUGAAUAUGCGCCAAAGAAGGUGGUUGGAGUUAAUUAAGGACUACGAUUGUGAGAUUUUAUACCAUCCGGGUAAGGCAAAUGUGGUGGCCGACGCCUUAAGUAGAAAAGUGUUGAUAAAGUGCAAGUAUACACGGUCAACAAGUAAUAAAGUGAAAGUAGAGUAUCGUUCCCACGAGGAAUUAUUUAAUAAAAAUCACCAAGUACUAAUUCUUAACCAAACUAAUUUUAUUUAAACAAUCUCAAAUCGUGUUUUUUCUAAUUAAGAAAACUAAAUUAACUAAUUAAAACUAAGAUUUUAACGAAUGAAUUCAAAUAAAUAAAGAUUAAGACUUCAAUAUCCCCAAUUAUGAAUUAUAAAUCAAUUAUCCAAUUAUCCCAAUUAUUAUGCCUACUGAAUUGUUAACANNNNNNNNNNNNNNNNNNNNNNNNNNNNNNNNNNNNNNNNNNNNNNNNNNNNNNNNNNNNNNNNNNNNNNNNNNNNNNNNNNNNNNNNNNNNNNNNNNNNNNNNNNNNNNNNNNNNNNNNNNNNNNNNNNNNNNNNNNNNNNNNNNNNNNNNNNNNNNNNNNNNNNNNNNNNNNNNNNNNNNNNNNNNNNNNNNNNNNNNNNNNNNNNNNNNNNNNNNNNNNNNNNNNNNNNNNNNNNNNNNNNNNNNNNNNNNNNNNNNNNNNNNNNNNNNNNNNNNNNNNNNNNNNNNNNNNNNNNNNNNNNNNNNNNNNNNNNNNNNNNNNNNNNNNNNNNNNNNNNNNNNNNNNNNNNNNNNNNNNNNNNNNNNNNNNNNNNNNNNNNNNNNNNNNNNNNNNNNNNNNNNNNNNNNNNNNNNNNNNNNNNNNNNNNNNNNNNNNNNNNNNNNNNNNNNNNNNNNNNNNNNNNNNNNNNNNNNNNNNNNNNNNNNNNNNNNNNNNNNNNNNNNNNNNNNNNNNNNNNNNNNNNNNNNNNNNNNNNNNNNNNNNNNNNNNNNNNNNNNNNNNNNNNNNNNNNNNNNNNNNNNNNNNNNNNNNNNNNNNNNNNNNNNNNNNNNNNNNNNNNNNNNNNNNNNNNNNNNNNNNNNNNNNNNNNNNNNNNNNNNNNNNNNNNNNNNNNNNNNNNNNNNNNNNNNNNNNNNNNNNNNNNNNNNNNNNNNNNNNNNNNNNNNNNNNNNNNNNNNNNNNNNNNNNNNNNNNNNNNNNNNNNNNNNNNNNNNNNNNNNNNNNNNNNNNNNNNNNNNNNNNNNNNNNNNNNNNNNNNNNNNNNNNNNNNNNNNNNNNNNNNNNNNNNNNNNNNNNNNNNNNNNNNNNNNNNNNNNNNNNNNNNNNNNNNNNNNNNNNNNNNNNNNNNNNNNNNNNNNNNNNNNNNNNNNNNNNNNNNNNNNNNNNNNNNNNNNNNNUUACUGGAUAAAGUUAAGGAGGCUCAACUUCAGGACGAAGAAUGUGAGAAAGUGAAGAAGAAGAUAUCUGAAGGGAUUGAACCUAGAUUCAAAAUAAACAGUGAAGGACUACUAAGAUUUGAGAGAAGAAUUUGGGUACCACCAGUACCAGAGAUUAAGGAAGAAAUUUUGAGCGAGGCUCACAACUCAAGAUAUUCGAUUCACCCUGGUAGCACCAAGAUGUACCAAGAUCUUCGACAACACUUUUGGUGGCCAAAUUUAAAACGAGAGGUUGCAGAAUGUGUUGCCAAAUGCCUGACAUGUCAGAAAGUAAAAGCAGAACAUCAGAGACCGAGUGGAUUGCUACAACCUUUAUAAAUUCCAAAAUGGAAAUGGGAACAUAUUACGAUGGAUUUCGUGGUUGGCCUAUCGAUGACUCAGAAAGGCUACGACACAGUAUGGGUUAUUGUUGACCGAUUGACAAAAUCCGCACACUUCCUUCGGAUCAGAAUCAGAUUCAACCUAGAUCAGUUGGCAAGGUUAUAUGUGAAAGAGAUUGUUUUAAAGCACGGAGUUCUGGUAUCAAUUGUUUCUGAUAGAGAUCCGCAUUUUACGUCAAACUUCUGGAAACGUCUACAGGAAUGCAUGGGUACACAGUUACGAAUGAGCACAACAUAUCACCCUCAGACAGAUGGACAUAGUGAAAGAACAAUUCAGACAUUGGAAGAUAUGUUAAGAGCUUUUAUAAUGGACUUUAAAGAAAAUUGGGAUGACCAUCUACCGCUUGUAGAGUUCGGCUACAACAACAGUUACCAUGCUAGUAUUGGCAUGCCACCCUAUGAAGCGUUAUACGGCAGAAAGUGCAGAACUCCAUUAUAUUGGGAUGAAGUUGGCGAAAGACAACUACUAGGCCCGGAAUUGGUACAACAAACAGCAGAAAUAGUCAAAAUGAUCCGAGCGAGAUUGACAGCAUCUCAAAAUAGACAGAGGAAAUACGCCGAUCCACACCGUAAGAAUGUUGAGUUCGACCUGGGUAGUUAUGUGUUCUUAAAGGUCUCUCCUUGGAAGGGAAAGAUCAGAUUCGGAAAGAAAGGGAAAUUGAGCCCAAGAUUCAUUGGACCCUUUGAAGUUUUGAGAAGGGUCGGAGAAGAUGCUUAUGAGGUAGCCUUACCUCCAUCUCUAGAGAAUGUCCACAACAUUUUCCAUGUCUCAGUCCUACGCCCCUACAAACCUGAUUACAAGCACGUGAUUGAAUAUGAACCCCUACAUUUCGACAAAGACUUGUCUUACGAAGAAAUUCAUGUUCAGAUUGUUGACCGCAAAGAACAAGUUCUGAGAAAUAAAGUAAUACCUUCUAUUAAGGUAAUUUGGAGGAACCACAAUGCUGAAGAAGCUACGUGGGAACUCGAAGAGAAUAUGAUGAAAAUUUUUCCUCAUUUGUUUACUUAGAUUGUUAUAAGCGAUUCUGNNNNNNNNNNNNNNNNNNNNNNNNNNNNNNNNNNNNNNNNNNNNNNNNNNNNNNNNNNNNNNNNNNNNNNNNNNNNNNNNNNNNNNNNNNNNNNNNNNNNNNNNNNNNNNNNNNNNNNNNNNNNNNNNNNNNNNNNNNNNNNNNNNNNNNNNNNNNNNNNNNNNNNNNNNNNNNNNNNNNNNNNNNNNNNNNNNNNNNNNNNNNNNNNNNNNNNNNNNNNNNNNNNNNNNNNNNNNNNNNNNNNNNNNNNNNNNNNNNNNNNNNNNNNNNNNNNNNNNNNNNNNNNNNNNNNNNNNNNNNNNNNNNNNNNNNNNNNNNNNNNNNNNNNNNNNNNNNNNNNNNNNNNNNNNNNNNNNNNNNNNNNNNNNNNNNNNNNNNNNNNNNNNNNNNNNNNNNNNNNNNNNNNNNNNNNNNNNNNNNNNNNNNNNNNNNNNNNNNNNNNNNNNNNNNNNNNNNNNNNNNNNNNNNNNNNNNNNNNNNNNNNNNNNNNNNNNNNNNNNNNNNNNNNNNNNNNNNNNNNNNNNNNNNNNNNNNNNNNNNNNNNNNNNNNNNNNNNNNNNNNNNNNNNNNNNNNNNNNNNNNNNNNNNNNNNNNNNNNNNNNNNNNNNNNNNNNNNNNNNNNNNNNNNNNNNNNNNNNNNNNNNNNNNNNNNNNNNNNNNNNNNNNNNNNNNNNNNNNNNNNNNNNNNNNNNNNNNNNNNNNNNNNNNNNNNNNNNNNNNNNNNNNNNNNUAUAUAUAUAUUGCAUAAUUCCAUAUCAUCAGUUUCAUGAAAUUUUACAGUAUACGAUUACAGAGUACGUGAUAUGGCCAUAUGGCCUUAUACGUGAUUUUUAUAUGUCAAAUAUAAUUUAUUUUGAAAAUUCACACAUUGAUAUGAUUAUGCAUGUUAAAAUGAACAAAAUGAAACUUGAAUGGUUUGAUUUGGCUUUAUAACGAAUCCGUAGCAUUAAAAUCCAUGUUUUUGUUCAAGAACUUCAAGAACAUCAAGAACAGUACAAUUUGCAUGCUCUAAUUCUAUGAUUAUGUGUUUUAAUGGGUUAAAAUCACUCUAUAUAAGUUGGGUAAUGGUUAUGUAUAAAUUCUAGCAUGUGGGUAUGUUUAAAUUGGUGAAAUUAAUGAUCACGCAGAGUUUAUUUCGCUGAAUUCUGUGUUCUUCGCGAACUUGAAAUUUAGAAUUUGGAGUGUCGCGCCGCGGCGCCAACUCCAGGCUUGAGACUCGCGCCGCAGCGCCACCACGCCGCAGCGCCAAGACAUAGUAUAAAAGUGGCGCCGCAGCGCCACUUAGCAAAAUGGUCAGAAAAUGAGUUUUUAAAAGUGUACAAGUAUGGAAAUGUGAUAGCAACUUAGUCUAAUGAUUAUAAAGACUUGUUCGGACUCCUCGUUGGAUGGCAGGCAUCUUUGCCAUUGGAAAUUCUGUUAACCAAAGGCUUCUGAGCCGAAGAUUGAGGAACAAGAAGAGAUCUAUUAAGAGAAAUCUUUAUUCGAGAGCAAAUCUUAACAGUUACAUCCAAUCACAAACUACACGAAAGUUUCCCCUUUUUCAUGGAGAUUUACCCAUCACAGAGAACUAGCAAAGAGAUUCACACGGGGCUUAGAGUGAGUUGUCUAUAGGUAUUCUCUACCUACCCACCAGUGUCUCCAUCUCCGGCCAAGGCCAACCGAACUAUUCAUCUUUCUUUCCAUCCCCACGGCCCCGACCAGCAACUGCAAAUGAACACCCGCCUGCAUAACCUUUCUCCGUCAUCCGCUUAUCCAUUCUUGGUGUAAAACUCAAAUGAUUGGUGUCAGAAUUUUUCACUGUCUUACUUUGGCCCCUCUCCUCUCU
Molecule: long non-coding RNA, 37659 nt
Filed under: Panax ginseng (ginseng)
Lineage: Eukaryota; Viridiplantae; Streptophyta; Magnoliopsida; Apiales; Araliaceae
Description: long non-coding RNA (PGIN_LNC006017)
Rfam family: Plant small nucleolar RNA R71 (bases 5923-6029)
Source: RNAcentral